CAAGCACAGAGGCAACUUGAAAAGCACUCAUAUUCCAGCAUUCUCUAGUCGUAUGUGAAAAAGGUUAAGUUACAAAGUAGAUGAAUGUAACUCAGACUAUUAGACCAAGGAACCAACCUUAGAAAUCUACUCCAACAUUCUUACACUGAAUUUUUACGAUUGCUAAACCAGAUAAAAUAAAAUCCUGCAUCAAGCAAUCAUCUUCUUACAGGUGGCACAGUACCCCGACCAGGUGGUGCUCCACGACCAGCAGCCUGAGCUUUAGCUCGCAUAGCAAUAGCACGUCCCCGACCAACACCAAGUGAUGUACCUUUUCCCUUGAUUCUUGCUUCUAGCCGCUUGAACAUGGGAGCAUUCUUAAGCAUAUCAGGAAUUAUCAUGAACCUGACUUUGCUGCCUCGAAUGAAAACAUGCUCUAGUUGCGACACUCUCCCAUCUUUGGCAGUGUAAGUGAUGCUCUCGAGUUGGCAAUUCCAGUUAUCCUCGCACUCCACCAUACUUCCUCUGUACAGCUCUCCACUCUUCAUCUCUACUGUCACUAUAUGCCCUGUCGCUUCAUGUAGAAGCUUCACCGGUAUGCCCAAGCUCCGACUCAUGGCUGAUUCCUCCCGCUUUCCUUACUUCUCAGUAAACCUAACGUUGCUGGUUAGUGACCAGUGGGGAGUGCAGCUUCUUCUACUGUGACAG
RNAcentral lists this unclassified non-coding RNA (687 nucleotides) under Hevea brasiliensis (rubber tree). The record is from RNAcentral. Lineage: Eukaryota; Viridiplantae; Streptophyta; Magnoliopsida; Malpighiales; Euphorbiaceae.